Molecule: long non-coding RNA, 638 nt
Organism: Urocitellus parryii (Arctic ground squirrel)
Lineage: Eukaryota; Metazoa; Chordata; Mammalia; Rodentia; Sciuridae
Source: RefSeq, a predicted model, not a curated record
GCCUUGGGGAAAGCAGCUCCUCUGAGGAAGAGAAUAGAUCCAGGGAUGUGAGUGGAUGAGGCCUCUUCAAAGGAUUUGAAAUACAGAACAUGGAACCCAAUUGGCUUUGAUGGGUUAUGACCAAGUUGGAUUGGCUGAAGAGCAUCACCCUGCUUGAAUGUGAAUCCUCUGACUGCAGAUUGCCACUUUGGAUCUCUCUUCUCACUUUCUGAAGAGGCUUCCUGAAAGUGAGAUCCUGUGUUUCAGCUUUUGUGGUUGCUACUGUUCUAGAUACAUACCUGAAGAUAGUCUGCUUAUAUGGAAAUAGAUGACCAACUCCAUUGCUCUGGGCCAGAUAUGAGGAAGAAUAUCGUGAUAGAAGGGCAUGACAGAGGAAAGCACCUCAGGACAUGGCACCAGGAAGCAGAGACAGAGAAGGAGAGAGAGAGAGAGAGAGAGAGAGAGAGAGAGAGAGAGAGAGAGAGAGAGAGAGAGUCUCCUCCCCAUGGACAAAAUACAUAUCCCAAAGACACACCCCAAAUGACUCACCCCCCCCAGCCACACCAUAUAUGCCCACGGUUACAACCCAGUUAAUCUGUAUCAGUGGAUUAAUACAUUGAUUAGGUUAAGGCUCUUAUAACCCAGUUAUUUCAUCUCUA